This 569-nucleotide ribosomal RNA is filed under the name uncultured bacterium. Its description in RNAcentral is "bacterial SSU rRNA". It matches the Rfam family "Bacterial small subunit ribosomal RNA", at positions 9 to 622 of the family's 1533-position model. The record is from RNAcentral.
GAGUUUGAUCCGUGGCUCAGAGCGAACGCUGGCGGCAGGCCUAACACAUGCAACGUCGAACGGAUCCUUCGGGAUUAGUGGCGGACGGGUGAGUAACACGUGGGAACGUGCCUUUUGGUUCGGAACAACUCAGGGAAACUUGAGCUAAUACCGGAUAAGCCUUUCGAGGGAAAGAUUUAUCGCCAUUAGAGCGGCCCGCGUAGGAUUAGCUAGUUGGUGGGGUAAAGGCCCACCAAGGCUACGAUCCUUAGCUGGUCUGAGAGGAUGAUCAGCCACAUUGGGACUGAGACACGGCCCAAACUCCUACGGGAGGCAGCAGUGGGGAAUCUUGCGCAAUGGGCGAAAGCCUGACGCAGCCAUGCCGCGUGAAUGAUGAAGGUCUUAGGAUUGUAAAAUUCUUUCACCGGGGACGAUAAUGACGGUACCCGGAGAAGAAGCCCCGGCUAACUUCGUGCCAGCAGCCGCGGUAAUACGAAGGGGGCUAGCGUUGCUCGGAAUUACUGGGCGUAAAGGGAGCGUAGGCGGAUAGUUUAGUCAGAGGUGAAAGCCCAGGGCUCAACCUUGGAAUU